AUACGGAGGGUGCGAGCGUUACUCGGAGUCACUGGGCGUAGAGCGUCCGUAGGCGGUCGGGUAAGUCGGGUGUGAAAGCCCCGGGCUCAACCUGGGAAGUGCACCCGAUACUGCUCGACUCGAGUGCGGGAGAGGAUGGCGGAAUUCCCGGUGUAGCGGUGAAAUGCGUAGAGAUCGGGAGGAACACCAGUGGCGAAGGCGGCCAUCUGGCCCGCAACUGACGCUGAGGGACGAAAGCGUGGGGAGCAAACAGGAUUAGAAACCCUAGUAGUCC
This 274-nucleotide ribosomal RNA is filed under the name uncultured bacterium. RNAcentral's name for it is "partial 16S ribosomal RNA". It matches the Rfam family "Bacterial small subunit ribosomal RNA", at positions 523 to 796 of the family's 1533-position model. The record is from RNAcentral.